Zea mays is the source of this 2927-nucleotide RNA transcript. It is a transcript of the gene named DNA replication licensing factor MCM5, with no coding region annotated. The record is from RefSeq and is marked validated. The transcript is spliced from 19 exons. Lineage: Eukaryota; Viridiplantae; Streptophyta; Magnoliopsida; Poales; Poaceae.
GCCCACGAAUGGAAUGACAGGCCUGUUAUCGAAGCCACGCCUUCAUCCGCCAACAGCCCAACGCUAGCCGGCCGGCAGCAACGAGCAGAUCCACUCCUCCCGCCAAAAGCUCCGCCGUCUUCCCGCCAAAUCCCUCCUCUAUUACCCCCUUCCCGCCACACCCGACCCCGUCCCAUCGCCGUCGUCCCAGUCCACGUCCACGUCCACGCCGACGCACCCGCAUCCCUCUCUCGCCUGCGCCGCAGCUAUGUCGGGCUGGGACGAGGGCGCCGUGUUCUACAGCGACCAGGCGCAAUUCCCCCGCGGCGGCCCUGGCGGCGACCCAGCCGCCGACCUCACCCGCCACUCCGCCCUCCGCAAAUUCAAGGAGUUUCUCCGCGGCUUCACUGGCCCCACCGGCGACUUCCCCUACCGUGAGAGCCUAGUACACAACCGCGACCAUGUCACCGUCGCUAUUGAGGACCUCGACGCCUUCGAUGCCGAGCUCUCUGACAAGAUCCGCAAGUCGCCGGCCGAUUAUCUUCCUUUGUUUGAGACGGCUGCGGCCGAGGUUCUCGCAAGUCUCCGUUCGAAAGUCGCCGGCGAGACCGGAGAGAUGGAGGAGCCCGUCACUGGAGAUGUCCAGAUUUUCCUCUCCUCCAAGGAGAACUGCCUGUCCAUGAGAUCUGUUGGGGCGGAUUACAUGUCGAAGCUGGUUAAGAUAGCGGGAAUAGCAAUUGCUGCAUCGAGAGUAAAAGCUAAGGCCACCCAUGUAACUCUUAUCUGCAAGAAUUGCCGGAGUGUGAGGACAGUGCCUUGCAGACCAGGCCUCGGCGGGGCUAUUGUUCCACGUUCGUGUGACCAUGUUCCUCAGCCUGGAGAGGAGCCAUGCCCUCUGGACCCUUGGAUUGCCGUUCCAGAUAAGAGCAAGUAUGUGGAUCUCCAGACCCUCAAAUUGCAAGAGAAUCCUGAGGAUGUUCCAACUGGUGAGCUUCCAAGGAAUGUGCUGCUUUCUGUAGAUAGGCACCUAGUUCAGACUAUUGUUCCAGGGACUAGAUUAACUGUUGUUGGCAUCUACAGCGUGUACCAAGCAUCCACAACCCAGAAGGGUGCUGUUGGUGUUAAGCAGCCUUACAUUAGAGUUGUGGGUUUAGAGCAAUCUCGAGACAAUAACUCAAAUGGCCCCUCAAACUUCACUCUUGAUGAGGAAAUGGAAUUCAAAGAAUUUGCACAGAGGCCAGAUGCAUAUGCCAAGCUAUGCUCAAUGAUUGGUCCUUCAAUUUAUGGUCAUUCUGAUGUCAAGAAAGCUAUUGCAUGCUUGUUAUUUGGGGGAUCUAAGAAGAGGCUACCUGAUGGUGUACGUUUAAGAGGGGACAUUCAUGUCUUGCUUCUCGGUGAUCCCUCCACAGCAAAAUCACAGUUCCUAAAAUUUGUAGAGAAGACUGCACCUAUUGCAGUAUAUACAUCUGGCAAAGGAUCGUCUGCAGCUGGUCUUACAGCAUCUGUAACUCGUGAUAGUAGCUCGCGUGAGUUUUAUUUGGAAGGAGGAGCCAUGGUUUUGGCUGAUGGUGGAGUAGUUUGUAUCGAUGAAUUUGACAAGAUGAGACCUGAAGACAGAGUUGCAAUUCAUGAGGCCAUGGAGCAGCAGACAAUAUCUAUUGCCAAAGCUGGCAUUACAACAGUACUCAAUUCAAGGACUUCAGUUCUUGCAGCUGCCAAUCCAAUUGCAGGACGCUAUGAUGAUCUUAAGACCGCGCAAGAUAAUAUUGAUCUGCAGACGACCAUUCUUUCUAGAUUUGAUCUAAUCUUUAUCGUCAAGGAUAUCAGAAUGUAUGAUCAAGAUAAGAGAAUAGCAAGCCACAUUAUCAAGGUGCAUGCCAGUGGUGCUGCAGCUUCAUCCACAAACACAGAGGGGAGUGAAGGAGAGAAUUGGCUGAAAAGGUACAUUGAGUACUGCCGCGCCACAUGCAAACCACGGCUUUCAGAAAAAGCAGCUGAGAUGCUGCAGAACAAAUAUAUCGAGAUUAGACAGCUUAAAAUCUGUUGCGCAGAAAAUGAGGCAGCAAGCUCACGAGACAGGGAGGGCCGCAGCUAUACCCAUCACAGUGAGGCAGCUUGAAGCCAUCAUCCGUUUGAGUGAAUCUCUUGCAAAGAUGAGAUUGACAAGUGUGGCUACACCGGAGCAUGUCGAAGAGGCAUUCAGACUGUUCAAUGUUUCCACCGUUGAUGCUGCAAGAUCCGGAAUCAAUGAGCAUUUGAACCUGUCACCGGAGAUCGCAAACGAAAUCAAGCAAGCGGAGGCACAAAUAAAGAGAAGAAUGGGCAUCGGCAGCCACAUAUCCGAGCGACGGCUGAUUGAUGAUCUAAACCGGAUGGGGAUGAAUGAAUCCAUCGUCAGAAGAGCCCUUCUGAUCAUGCAUCAAAGGGACGAGGUGGAGUACAAGAGAGAGCGCCACGUGAUCGUCCGAAAGGCUUGAGGUGGAGAGGCCAGUCAGAUUCACGGCAUACAACGUACACUGGAGGCGGUCCUUCCUCUUCGGACGUGUGUAUACCUUCACUGAAACUGCACCUUUGUCUGUCCAGAGGACGAGGCAUGCCUUAGUUGAUCUCUGACAUGACUCUUGUAAUCUGCACACGAGUGGAUGCAACCUUUUGCUUCGUGCAAAUGGAGCUUUGUAGCUGUACCACAGUAGUCUGUUGCUGCCUGUGAUCCUAAACCAUAGUGUUGUGAGCAUGAAGACUUCGUUUUUUUGGAAGUAACCAUAGGUUCUGAACUGCAUUGUGCUGUGUAGCUCGUCAAUCAAUUCUGGAAUGCGAACUUUGUUUACUGCAUCACCAGGAGUAGGACAGACAGUGUGUGGAGCUUAGUUGUAAUAAUUAUAAUAAUAUAUGCUAUGUGUUGGGGACCUUCGGCAUCCGAAGGUCCUCAAAAACAGGAUUUAACAGUA